Molecule: ribosomal RNA, 997 nt
Filed under: Enterococcus faecium
Lineage: Bacteria; Bacillati; Bacillota; Bacilli; Lactobacillales; Enterococcaceae
Description: bacterial SSU rRNA
Rfam family: Bacterial small subunit ribosomal RNA
Source: RNAcentral
UUCUUUUUCCACCGGAGCUUGCUCCACCGGAAAAAGAAGAGUGGCGAACGGGUGAGUAACACGUGGGUAACCUGCCCAUCAGAAGGGGAUAACACUUGGAAACAGGUGCUAAUACCGUAUAACAAUCGAAACCGCAUGGUUUUGAUUUGAAAGGCGCUUUCGGGUGUCGCUGAUGGAUGGACCCGCGGUGCAUUAGCUAGUUGGUGAGGUAACGGCUCACCAAGGCCACGAUGCAUAGCCGACCUGAGAGGGUGAUCGGCCACAUUGGGACUGAGACACGGCCCAAACUCCUACGGGAGGCAGCAGUAGGGAAUCUUCGGCAAUGGACGAAAGUCUGACCGAGCAACGCCGCGUGAGUGAAGAAGGUUUUCGGAUCGUAAAACUCUGUUGUUAGAGAAGAACAAGGAUGAGAGUAACUGUUCAUCCCUUGACGGUAUCUAACCAGAAAGCCACGGCUAACUACGUGCCAGCAGCCGCGGUAAUACGUAGGUGGCAAGCGUUGUCCGGAUUUAUUGGGCGUAAAGCGAGCGCAGGCGGUUUCUUAAGUCUGAUGUGAAAGCCCCCGGCUCAACCGGGGAGGGUCAUUGGAAACUGGGAGACUUGAGUGCAGAAGAGGAGAGUGGAAUUCCAUGUGUAGCGGUGAAAUGCGUAGAUAUAUGGAGGAACACCAGUGGCGAAGGCGGCUCUCUGGUCUGUAACUGACGCUGAGGCUCGAAAGCGUGGGGAGCAAACAGGAUUAGAUACCCUGGUAGUCCACGCCGUAAACGAUGAGUGCUAAGUGUUGGAGGGUUUCCGCCCUUCAGUGCUGCAGCUAACGCAUUAAGCACUCCGCCUGGGGAGUACGACCGCAAGGUUGAAACUCAAAGGAAUUGACGGGGGGCCCGCACAAGCGGUGGGAGCAUGUGGUUUAAUUCGAAGCAACGCGAAGAACCUUACCAGGUCUUGACAUCCUUUGACCACUCUAGAAUAAAGAGCUUCCCCCUUCGGGGGCAAAUAG